UAGGGAAUAUUGGACAAUGGGCGCAAGCCUGAUCCAGCCAUGCCGCGUGAGUGAAGAAGGCCCUCGGGUUGUAAAGCUCUUUUGUCCGGAAAGAAAAGCAUCGGGUUAAUACCCCGGUGUUCUGACGGUACCGGAAGAAUAAGCACCGGCUAACUUCGUGCCAGCAGCCGCGGUAAUACGAAGGGUGCAAGCGUUACUCGGAAUUACUGGGCGUAAAGCGUGCGUAGGCGGUUGCCAAAGUCGGGUGUGAAAGCCUUGAGCUCAACUCAAGAAUAGCACUCGAUACUUGGUGGCUAGAGGACCGGAGAGGAUAGUGGAAUUCCCAGUGUAGUGGUGAAAUACGUAGAGAUUGGGAAGAACACCAGUGGCGAAGGCGGCUAUCUGGACGGUUACUGACGCUAAGACGCGAAAGCGUGGGGAGCAAACA
RNAcentral lists this ribosomal RNA (427 nucleotides) under uncultured bacterium. Its description in RNAcentral is "bacterial SSU rRNA". It matches the Rfam family "Bacterial small subunit ribosomal RNA", at positions 355 to 774 of the family's 1533-position model. The record is from RNAcentral.